RNAcentral lists this ribosomal RNA (1389 nucleotides) under metagenome. RNAcentral's name for it is "bacterial LSU rRNA". It matches the Rfam family "Bacterial large subunit ribosomal RNA", at positions 1481 to 2864 of the family's 2925-position model. The record is from RNAcentral.
GUUAUGCCAGCUUGGCGAUGGUUGUCCAAGUGGAAGGAUGUAGAUAGGUUUAGUAGGCAAAUCCGCUAGACCAUUAAUGAGAUCUGAUAGCAAGCUGUACUUGUACAGCGAAGUGGCAAAUACCCUGCUUCCAGGAAAAGCUUCUAAGCGAUAGUCAUAAAGAAAUCGUACCCUAAACCGACACAGGUGGUCAGGUAGAGAAUACCAAGGCGCUUGAGAGAACUCUGCUGAAGGAACUAGGCAAAAUGGUACCGUAACUUCGGGAGAAGGUACGCUGCCGAUGGUGAGUAGUCAUGCACUACAAAGCUAUUGGCAGUCGCAGAUACCAGGCCGCUGCAACUGUUUAUUAAAAACACAGCACUCUGCAAACACGAAAGUGGACGUAUAGGGUGUGAUGCCUGCCCGGUGCUGGAAGGUUAAUUGAUGGGGUUAGCGUAAGCGAAGCUCUUGAUCGAAGCCCCAGUAAACGGCGGCCGUAACAAUAACGGUCCUAAGGUAGCGAAAUUCCUUGUCGGGUAAGUUCCGACCUGCACGAAUGGCAUAAUGAUGGCGGCGCUGUCUCCAGCAGAGACUCAGUGAAAUCGAAAUCGCAGUGAAGAUGCUGUGUACCCGCGGCUAGACGGAAAGACCCCGUGAACCUUUACUACAGCUUUACAUUGAACUUUGACCUUACCUGUGUAGGAUAGGUGGGAGGCUUUGAAGCAGGCACGCCAGUGUCUGUGGAGCCAUCCUUGAAAUACCACCCUGGUAAUGUUGGGGUUCUAACUCAAGCUUAACAGAGCUGAGGACAAUGUAUGGUGGGUAGUUUGACUGGGGCGGUCUCCUCCUAAAGAGUAACGGAGGAGUACGAAGGUGCGCUCAGAACGGUCGGAAAUCGUUCGAAGAGUAUAAAGGCAAAAGCGCGCUUAACUGCGAGACCCACAAGUCGAGCAGAUACGAAAGUAGGUCUUAGUGAUCCGGUGGUUCUGUAUGGAAGGGCCAUCGCUCAACGGAUAAAAGGUACUCUGGGGGUAACAGGCUGAUACCGCCCAAGAGUUCAUAUCGACGGCGGUGUUUGGCACCUCGAUGUCGGCUCAUCUCAUCCUGGGGCUGAAGCAGGUCCCAAGGGUAUGGCUGUUCGCCAUUUAAAGAGGUACGCGAGCUGGGUUUAGAACGUCGUGAGACAGUUCGGUCCCUAUCUACCGUGGGCGUUGGAAAUUUGAGAGGAUCUGCUCCUAGUACGAGAGGACCAGAGUGGACGAACCUCUGGUGUUUCGGUUGUGACGCCAGUCGCAUUGCCGAGUAGCUAUGUUCGGAUGGGAUAACCGCUGAAAGCAUCUAAGCGGGAAGCCCACCUUAAGAUUAGAUUUCCCUAAAGAGCCGUUGUAGACUACGACGUUGAUAGGUUGG